UGGGGGAUCGUCUAACGGCAGGACGCCAGAUUCUGGAUCUGGCUAUCUAGGUUCGAAUCCUAGUCCCCCAGCCA
RNAcentral lists this transfer RNA (74 nucleotides) under Anaeromyxobacter sp. RBG_16_69_14. RNAcentral's name for it is "tRNA-Gln". It matches the Rfam family "tRNA". Rfam says of the family: Transfer RNA (tRNA) molecules are approximately 80 nucleotides in length. Their secondary structure includes four short double-helical elements and three loops (D, anti-codon, and T loops). Further hydrogen bonds mediate the characteristic L-shaped molecular structure. tRNAs have two regions of fundamental functional importance: the anti-codon, which is responsible for specific mRNA codon recognition, and the 3' end, to which the tRNAs corresponding amino acid is attached (by aminoacyl-tRNA synthetases). tRNAs cope with the degeneracy of the genetic code in two manners: having more than one tRNA (with a specific anti-codon) for a particular amino acid; and 'wobble' base-pairing, i.e. permitting non-standard base-pairing at the 3rd anti-codon position. Lineage: Bacteria; Pseudomonadati; Myxococcota; Myxococcia; Myxococcales; Anaeromyxobacteraceae. The record is from RNAcentral.